GCUACAGAAACGUUAAAGGAAGUUGACGGGGGCCCGCACAAGCGGAGGAGCAUGUGGUUUAAUUCGAUGAUACGCGAGGAACCUUACCUGGGCUCGAACGUAAGAUGACUGUAGGUGAAAGCUUACAUCUCUUCGGAGCAUUUUACGAGGUGCUGCAUGGUUGUCGUCAGCUCGUGCCGUGAGGUGUCGGGUUAAGUCCCAUAACGAGCGCAACCCCUACCUUUAGUUGCCAUCAGGUUAAGCUGGGGACUCUAAAGGAACUGCCUACGCAAGUAGUGAGGAAGGCGGGGAUGACGUCAAAUCAGCACGGCCCUUACGUCCAGGGCUACACACGUGCUACAAUGGCCGAUACAGAGGGCAGCUACCUGGUGACAGGAUGCAAAUCUCCAAAGUCGGUCUCAGUUCGGAUCGGAGUCUGCAACCCGACUCCGUGAAGUUGGAUUCGCUAGUAAUCGCGCAUCAGCCAUGGCGCGGUGAAUACGUUCCCGGGCCUU
Molecule: ribosomal RNA, 494 nt
Filed under: uncultured Sphingobacteriales bacterium
Lineage: Bacteria; Pseudomonadati; Bacteroidota; Sphingobacteriia; Sphingobacteriales
Description: bacterial SSU rRNA
Rfam family: Bacterial small subunit ribosomal RNA
Source: RNAcentral